Molecule: ribosomal RNA, 1353 nt
Filed under: uncultured marine eukaryote
Lineage: Eukaryota
Description: SSU rRNA
Rfam family: Eukaryotic small subunit ribosomal RNA
Source: RNAcentral
ACAUAUUAAGUGAGGCAGCAGGCGCGCAAUUACCCAAUCCUGACUCAGGGAGGUAGUGACAAGAAAUAACAAUAGUUCGCCUUAGUGGUAAGCUAAUUGGAAUGAGUACAAUUUAAACAUCUUAACGAGCACCAAUUGGAGGGCAAGUCUGGUGCCAGCAGCCGCGGUAAUUCCAGCUCCAAUAGCGUAUACUAAAGUUGUUGCAGUUAAACAGCUCGUAGUUGGAUUUCUGCGUGGGUGGGGCGUCCACUGGCCUUAGGCCAGUUUGGACAGCAACGCACACGCAUCCUGCCGCGAACCACGCUACCAUUAGUUUGGUGGCGUCUGGGGAUCGGCUCGUUUACUUUGAGAAAAAUAGAGUGUUCAAAGCAGGCAUCGUGCCUUGAAUAAUGUAGCAUGGAAUAAUGAUUAAGGACUUUGGUUCUAUUUUGUUGGUGUUCGGGACUGAAGUAAUGAUUGAUAGGGACAGUUGGGGGCGUCUGUAUUCUGAAGCGAGAGGUGAAAUUCUUAGACCUUCGGAAGACAAACCGCUGCGAAAGCGUUCGCCAAGGAUGUUCCCUUUGAUCAAGAACGAAAGUUGGGGGAUCGAAGACGAUCAGAUACCGUCGUAGUCUCAACUAUAAACUAUACCAGCUAGGGAUCGGCCAACGUUGUAUACAAAAGACUUGGUCGGCACCUUAUGAGAAAUCAAAGCAUUUGGGUUCCGGGGGGAGUAUGGUCGCAAGGCUGAAACUUAAAGGAAUUGACGGAAGGGCACCACCAGGCGUGGAGCCUGUGGCUUAAUUUGACUCAACACGGGGAAACUUACCAGGUCCAGACAUGAGAAGGAUUGACAGAUUGACAGCUCUUUCUUGAUUUUAUGGGUGGUGGUGCAUGGCCGUUCUUAGUUGGUGGAGUGAUUUGUCUGGUUAAUUCCGUUAACGAACGAGACCCCAGCCUGCUAAAUAGCGCGCGUUGCCUCUGGCAGCGGCGAGCUUCUUAGAGGGACUAUGGCUGUUAUAGGCCAGGGAAGUUUGGGGCAAUAACAGGUCUGUGAUGCCCUUAGAUGUUCUGGGCCGCACACGGGCUACACUGACGCGUGCAACGAGCAUAUCAGCUGGUCCGACAGGACAAGGCUAAUCUUUUGAACUCGCGUCGUGCUAGGGAUUGACCAUUGCAAUUGUUGGUCAUGCAACGAGGAAUGCCUUGUAAACGCGAGUCAUCAACUCGCAUUGAAUACGUCCCUGCCCUUUGUACACACCGCCCGUCGCUCCUACCGAUGAAUGUUCCGAUGAAAUUUUCGGAGGGUGCCUGUGAAGCGGGCUCUGCCCGCGGAACGGAUGCCACAAAGUUGCUUAAAAUCGAAACUUUAGG